AGGCCCGUAUUAAUAGAUCGAUCUCAAACGUCAUCUUAAGUGCGUCUCAGCUGAGAUUGACUUGAGACGUGAGCAACGUCUUAAGUCUGUCACUAAUUAAUAAACAUGACUUAAGCUCAACUCAGCUGAGAUUGAUCUCAAGUAGCAGUUGGAGACAAACUCAUGUUUCUUUUUUAUUUCUUGGCUUAGUUACCAAACUUUCAAGUCCAUUUCAAUGAGUUGCGCGUGAAUAGAUGGCUUUUUUGUUAUUAUUUUUAACCAACAAAACGCAGAUGUAAGUUACCUACUGACGCUAAACGCAACUGUCAGUAUUUGACAGGCCAGACCGAUUUGUUUGAUUGAAUUUUGCAAAAUGGAUAAAGAAAUUUACUUUUUCCUGUGCCGAAAAACAAUUACUUAUUAAAAAACAGCCAUAUUAUAGAAAAUAAGCCGACGGACGGGGCCACACUUCGCAUAACAAAAUGAGUCGUAGAACUCAGUAACCCGGGAAUUCAAUGCGAGCCCGCUUACUACGCAAAACGUCAAGAAUCAGCACCUCCGCAAGCUGUGGCAAAACCUCAAGCAGCGUCAAAGGGAUGCCUUGACCAAAGAAAGAGUAUACAACACCGCUUGAUUCUACGGAUUCCGACCCAGACAAGACCCAGACCCAGACGACUAUAAUCCGACUACCGAUCCAGCCUUGAUUUAAAAAAUGUGUUGCUGUUGCAGUUUCUUGUCAUUUCUUCUCCUCAACCGUAACAACACCUUGCGAAAUGACGUAGAUUUAAAAAAUUCGUAAUUGUAAAUAAGAAUUAAAGUAUACAUUUCUCAAUAACUAUCUU
Molecule: long non-coding RNA, 821 nt
Organism: Pectinophora gossypiella (pink bollworm)
Lineage: Eukaryota; Metazoa; Arthropoda; Insecta; Lepidoptera; Gelechiidae
Exons: 3
Source: RefSeq, a predicted model, not a curated record